This 256-nucleotide ribosomal RNA is filed under the name uncultured bacterium. RNAcentral's name for it is "partial 16S ribosomal RNA". It matches the Rfam family "Bacterial small subunit ribosomal RNA", at positions 57 to 305 of the family's 1533-position model. The record is from RNAcentral.
GCAAGUCGAACGGCAGCAGGUCGGAUAUUUAUAUUUGAUGCUGGCGAGUGGCGCACGGGUGAGUAACGCGUACACAACCUACCCUUAAGAGGGGAUAGCCCAGAGAAAUUUGGAUUAAUACCCCAUAACAUUCUAAAACUGCAUAGUUUAAGGAUUAAAGUUAAGGCGCUUAAGGAUGGGUGUGCGUCCCAUUAGUUAGUUGGUAGGGUAACGGCCUACCAAGACUACGAUGGGUAAGGGGCGUGAGAGCGUGACC